CACCGCGGUUAGACGAGAGGCCCAAGUUGAUAGACACCGGCGUAAAGAGUGGUUAAGACAAAUUCUAAACUAAAGCCGAAUGCCCCCUAAGCUGUUAUACGCACACAGAGGUAAGAAGACCAAUCACGAAAGUGGCUUUAUUUCCCUGAACCCACGAAAGCCAAGACA
This 168-nucleotide ribosomal RNA is filed under the name Glaucosoma buergeri (deepsea jewfish). RNAcentral's name for it is "partial 12S rRNA". RNAcentral also lists the same sequence under 1 other name. The record is from RNAcentral. Lineage: Eukaryota; Metazoa; Chordata; Actinopteri; Acropomatiformes; Glaucosomatidae.